GCAGCGCGGGGCGGGCGCGGGCCGGAUCGGCCCACAAGUACCGGCAUGCCCCGCCUGCCGGUAAGGUUUUCAUCUCCCGGCAAGCAGCGCGAAGCCGCCUGUGGCGGGGGCUGGCCGCGGUGCAUUUCGGGUGCUGCGGUUCUCUGGCGCCGUGGUGCCCGCUGGUACCUGUAGUUUCGCGGGGCGGGGGUGGCUUAGGGGAGCGGGGCAGCGCCCUGCUGGCUCACGGGCCUCCGCGGCGCGGGCCCCGGGGCCUCUGGCCCCCGGAUAGCCGCGCAGGGGGAGCGGGGAGGGGGCUUCAGGCACCCCGGCAAGGUCAGCCUGCCCCUCGGCCGGGCGGGCCCUCGGCGGCCCCGCCGCGGAGAAGGAGGGAGGAGCGGGGAGGGCAGGGGCCCGAGGGCGCGCCGGGGAGGGCCGCGGCGGCUUUGCCACCUCCCGCCUCACGGCGCGGAAGUCACGGGAGCUCUGUCGGAGUACCGGGUGUUAACGUGAUUUCGCAUAGCACCACUGUAAGGUCGUGCUGCAGCGCGAGGUGUUUUCACGUGGUGGUGUAGCAGUGGAGUGUCCUGUGAAAUCUCAUGGAUGAAAGUGAUUAGCGAAGUUGCUGGAGAGGGAAGAGGGGGUGGAAUUCAGUCUUCUUAAAUAGCGGUGGGAAUAAAACAGUGCCUUGUUGUCUCAUAGUCGCUUAGGUAUGUAAAGAGGAAUAUGAUAUUCUGGAGAAAAUGAACACAGCACAAUUAGUGUUAAAAGGGGAAAAUGUGAGGAAGAGGAAGAAAAGGUGUCUGAGCCAGCAGUCUGAGGGCCAAAGGAGUUUGGAGACUAUGAAGCAGACGUCACAGCAAUUCCUGCUCAGAGACUGAAGCAAGAGUGUGCGGAGUGGGGCUCACCAGUAGCAGAGACCCUUGAUAGAACAACAUUCAUCAGGGUCCCAAGUCCCUGCAUCGGCAGUGCUCAGGUUUCUCCUUUCAUGGUCUGAAAACGCUGCUGAGUAAAGCUGUUUCUACUCUUUUACUAGCAACAAAUCUUUCGUUUUGUGACAAGCUAUUUCCAGGACAACCCGUUACGAUAUGACAGAAAACUACAACUUAAGAGACGAAGAAGGAGAAGAAGCAGAUGAUAUCUUGUAACCCCAGAAAUAAAUCCUGUUGUCAUGAAAAGUAUGCCUAUUAAUAGCUAUAAAGAUGAAGGAAAACAGGAUGAAAACCCUAUUUGUGGAGUAGUAGAGCAUAUGGGCUAGAUCCUUAGCUCAGGAAAAUAACGGAUGUGCCACUGCUGUUUUAUGCUAGCUGAACAUCUAUUUCCUGAGAUAGAAGACUACCUAGCUGCAGUGAUUCCCAAGGAUCUGGGGAAGGAUCUGACCAUUUUAUAAAGGAGGCAGAGACAUAUGCGCCAUGAGGGGACUGAAAGAAGGUUGGGGCUGUGUCACAAGAGCUCUGGAGACCUGUGACUUGCUCUGGGAGAGUGAGGUGGAUGGGAAGAAGUGAUUGGAGAGAGAGAAACACAGCUUAAAAGCAGAGCCAGGGCCAGCCACAGUGGAUGGGCAGGCAUUUUCCUGGUAACCAUCCAGCACCAGGAACUUCGGUGUGGGGUGGAUGCCAGCCACCCCUUUGCUCCUGUUAACUGUUCCCAGGAGAGCCUUGCUAUAAGCCGGUUCCAUCUAGGUUAUCAGCAAAAGGACUUCUGAAACUUUGCUGUGUACAGAUGCCCAAGCCUCCUGUGGUGUCCUGCACUCAUAUCUGUGUGCUUCUUGGAAAGUAGGCAACUUCCAACCUGACAGAAACAGCUUCUCCUUUACACUUCACAGCUGACUGUGCUAAGAAGCCCAUGUUCAAAGGGAAAAUAAGCAUCUGCCUGAAGAGUGUGUAUGUGGCUGGUAACAGAAAAAAAGG
Molecule: long non-coding RNA, 1889 nt
Organism: Falco peregrinus (peregrine falcon)
Lineage: Eukaryota; Metazoa; Chordata; Aves; Falconiformes; Falconidae
Exons: 8
Source: RefSeq, a predicted model, not a curated record